Molecule: long non-coding RNA, 537 nt
Organism: Nannospalax galili (Upper Galilee mountains blind mole rat)
Lineage: Eukaryota; Metazoa; Chordata; Mammalia; Rodentia; Spalacidae
Exons: 3
Source: RefSeq, a predicted model, not a curated record
CUUCAGGUCUGGCCACACGGUCUCUGACAGGCUCUCUCUUUUGUGUGGGGUGAGUUACCGAGCUACAGGAAGGAAGGGAACACAGGUGUGUCGGUAGCCAGCUUGAGGCUGGUUUUCUGGAUCCAGAUAGAUCCAAUCUUGCUCUGCCAAGAAGCUGCCUCCCUCAGGUCACAGGCAACGGCAGAGAGAGACCCACCUCACCCCGGCUUUCCGCACUCUGGUCAGACUCAACUUGAACCUCGGCUUAAGAACAUCUACCGUAAUAGCUAAAAGUGAGACAGAUGCCACGGGAAGGUGGGGAAACUGAGGCACGGAGCUGUUCACCAAGAUCCCCAAGACCUGGGUCUUGGCAGAACCAAGGUGUAACGAAGAGCAUCCUAUCAGGCAGACCAUGGCCGAUGUCAUCGCAGCAGCAGGCUGGCUGGCGGUCACACAGCGGCCACUGGGCAUGGCACGGUCUUCACCUUCCUUCUCCCCUUCCUUGGAACCACCAGCAUUGUUAGCCACCACAGGAGUCCGCAGAGUGUAUCAGAACAC